RNAcentral lists this long non-coding RNA (247 nucleotides) under Elaeis guineensis (African oil palm). RNAcentral describes it as "long non-coding RNA (EGUI_LNC018256)". The record is from RNAcentral. Lineage: Eukaryota; Viridiplantae; Streptophyta; Magnoliopsida; Arecales; Arecaceae.
GGUGCAAGAGCUGGCCUCCAUGGUAGUAGAAGAUCGAGAGCUUGGGGCUGUCGGUGGAGAGGUGACGGCAGGAUUUGUAGGGGCAAAGGUGGUGGUCAUGGUCUUAUCAACAGUGUCGAACUAGGUAGGGCAUCCUUCCAAUAGACCUGCUCAAUGAUGCUAGCAUCACAAAUCGGGACAAGGUGGCUGAAGUUGGGGAAUCAGGGAUUAGGGUUGGGAGAGUCGGGAAGAAGAGGAAUAGGGUCCG